CGUUGUCCGGAAUUAUUGGGCGUAAAGAGCUUGUAGGUGGCUCGUCGCGUCGGGUGUGAAAACCCGCGGCUUAACCGCGGGCCUGCUUUCGAUACGGGCGGGCUAGAGUUCGGCAGGGGAGACUGGAAUUCCUGGUGUAGCGGUGGAAUGCGCAGAUAUCAGGAGGAACACCGGUGGCGAAGGCGGGUCUCUGGGCCGAUACUGACACUGAGAAGCGAAAGCGUGGGGAGCGAACAGG
Molecule: ribosomal RNA, 238 nt
Filed under: uncultured bacterium
Lineage: Bacteria
Description: partial 16S ribosomal RNA
Rfam family: Bacterial small subunit ribosomal RNA
Source: RNAcentral